AUUGAACGCUGGCGGCAGGCUUAACACAUGCAAGUCGAGCGGAGAUGAGGUGCUUGCACCUUAUCUUAGCGGCGGACGGGUGAGUAAUGCUUAGGAAUCUGCCAUUUAGUGGGGGACAACAUUCCGAAAGGAAUGCUAAUACCGCAUACGUCCUACGGGAGAAAGCAGGGGAUCUUCGGACCUUGCGCUAAAUGAUGAGCCUAAGUCGGAUUAGCUAGUUGGUGGGGUAAAGGCCUACCAAGGCGACGAUCUGUAGCGGGUCUGAGAGGAUGAUCCGCCACACUGGGACUGAGACACGGCCCAGACUCCUACGGGAGGCAGCAGUGGGGAAUAUUGGACAAUGGGCGGAAGCCUGAUCCAGCCAUGCCGCGUGUGCGAAGAAGGCCUUUUGGUUGUAAAGCACUUUAAGCGAGGAGGAGGCUACUAGUACUAAUACUACUGGAUAGUGGACGUUACUCGCAGAAUAAGCACCGGCUAACUCUGUGCCAGCCGCCGCAGUAA
Molecule: ribosomal RNA, 501 nt
Filed under: uncultured bacterium
Lineage: Bacteria
Description: partial 16S ribosomal RNA
Rfam family: Bacterial small subunit ribosomal RNA
Source: RNAcentral